RNAcentral lists this ribosomal RNA (503 nucleotides) under uncultured bacterium. RNAcentral's name for it is "bacterial SSU rRNA". It matches the Rfam family "Bacterial small subunit ribosomal RNA", at positions 29 to 513 of the family's 1533-position model. The record is from RNAcentral.
AACGAACGCUGGCGGCGUGCCUAACACAUGCAAGUCGAGCGCGAAAAGGGCAACCUGAGUAGAGCGGCGCACGGGUGCGUAACACGUGGGUAAUCUGCCUCAAAGUCUGGGAUAACCUUCCGAAAGGUUGGCUAAUACUGGAUAAGCUCACGGGGUCUUCGGACUCUGCGGGAAAAGGUGGCCUCUAUUUAUAAGCCAUCACUUUGAGAUGAGCCCGCGGCCCAUCAGCUAGUUGGCGGGGUAACGGCCCACCAAGGCUACGACGGGUAGCUGGUCUGAGAGGACGAUCAGCCACACUGGAACUGAGACACGGUCCAGACUCCUACGGGAGGCAGCAGUGGGGAAUUUUGCACAAUGGGCGAAAGCCUGAUGCAGCAACGCCGCGUGUGUGAUGAAGGUCUUCGGAUCGUAAAGCACUUUCGACCGGGACGAACAACCUCUGGGUAAUUCCCAGGGGCCUGACGGUACCGGGAGAAGAAGCACCGGCUAACUCUGUGCCAGCA